UCGGCUGUGGAGCGGACCUUGGAGCAAGCUGACAGAUAAAUGAAAUAUAUUCUGCAAACAUCCAUUAUCAUCAGAAGACACCCCAUGUGGAAGAAGCAAAUUAUUUUUGUGCUAAAAUGGAUAUUAUCAACUGCAAAGAAAAAGCUUUUGUCUGCCUUACUCUGGAAGCCUUAGAAGUGGAUGAUCAGUGCUUGAUGUGUGCUGCAGAAGAAGGAGCUGUCCCCAAGGCUUCCUGCUAAUUCAAAUAACAAAGCAAGCGAAGAAAGACAGAAAGGGGAGAGAGAGAGCGUACUACAUUUAACGGAGUUUCACUCUUGUCGCCCAGGCUGAGUGCAAUGGCGCGAUCUUGGCUCACCGCAACCUCCA
Molecule: long non-coding RNA, 366 nt
Filed under: Rhinopithecus bieti (black snub-nosed monkey)
Lineage: Eukaryota; Metazoa; Chordata; Mammalia; Primates; Cercopithecidae
Description: lncRNA (ENSRBIG00000045310.1)
Source: RNAcentral